CGGGACACGUGGUAUCCUGUCUGAAUAUGGGGGGACCAUCCUCCAAGGCUAAAUACUCCUGACUGACCGAUAGUGAACCAGUACCGUGAGGGAAAGGCGAAAAGAACCCCGGCGAGGGGAGUGAAAAAGAACCUGAAACCGUGUACGUACAAGCAGUGGGAGCACGCUUAGGCGUGUGACUGCGUACCUUUUGUAUAAUGGGUCAGCGACUUAUAUUCUGUAGCAAGGUUAACCGAAUAGGGGAGCCGAAGGGAAACCGAGUCUUAACUGGGCGUUAAGUUGCAGGGUAUAGACCCGAAACCCGGUGAUCUAGCCAUGGGCAGGUUGAAGGUUGGGUAACACUAACUGGAGGACCGAACCGACUAAUGUUGAAAAAUUAGCGGAUGACUUGUGGCUGGGGGUGAAAGGCCAAUCAAACCGGGAGAUAGCUGGUUCUCCCCGAAAGCUAUUUAGGUAGCGCCUCGUGAAUUCAUCUCCGGGGGUAGAGCACUGUUUCGGCAAGGGGGUCAUCCCGACUUACCAACCCGAUGCAAACUGCGAAUACCGGAGAAUGUUAUCACGGGAGACACACGGCGGGUGCUAACGUCCGUCGUGAAGAGGGAAACAACCCAGACCGCCAGCUAAGGUCCCAAAGUCAUGGUUAAGUGGGAAACGAUGUGGGAAGGCCCAGACAGCCAGGAUGUUGGCUUAGAAGCAGCCAUCAUUUAAAGAAAGCGUAAUAGCUCACUGGUCGAGUCGGCCUGCGCGGAAGAUGUAACGGGGCUAAACCAUGCACCGAAGCUGCGGCAGCGACGCUGAUGCGUUGUUGGGUAGGGGAGCGUUCUGUAAGCCUGUGAAGGUGUGCUGUGAGGCAUGCUGGAGGUAUCAGAAGUGCGAAUGCUGACAUAAGUAACGAUAAAGCGGGUGAAAAGCCCGCUCGCCGGAAGACCAAGGGUUCCUGUCCAACGUUAAUCGGGGCAGGGUGAGUCGACCCCUAAGGCGAGGCCGAAAGGCGUAGUCGAUGGGAAACAGGUUAAUAUUCCUGUACUUGGUGUUACUGCGAAGGGGGGACGGAGAAGGCUAUGUUGGCCGGGCGACGGUUGUCCCGGUUUAAGCGUGUAGGCUGGUUUUCCAGGCAAAUCCGGAAAAUCAAGGCUGAGGCGUGAUGACGAGGCACUACGGUGCUGAAGCAACAAAUGCCCUGCUUCCAGGAAAAGCCUCUAAGCAUCAGGUAACAUCAAAUCGUACCCCAAACCGACACAGGUGGUCAGGUAGAGAAUACCAAGGCGCUUGAGAGAACUCGGGUGAAGGAACUAGGCAAAAUGGUGCCGUAACUUCGGGAGAAGGCACGCUGAUAUGUAGGUGAAGCGACUUGCUCGUGGAGCUGAAAUCAGUCGAAGAUACCAGCUGGCUGCAACUGUUUAUUAAAAACACAGCACUGUGCAAACACGAAAGUGGACGUAUACGGUGUGACGCCUGCCCGGUGCCGGAAGGUUAAUUGAUGGGGUCAGCGCAAGCGAAGCUCUUGAUCGAAGCCCCGGUAAACGGCGGCCGUAACUAUAACGGUCCUAAGGUAGCGAAAUUCCUUGUCGGGUAAGUUCCGACCUGCACGAAUGGCGUAAUGAUGGCCAGGCUGUCUCCACCCGAGACUCAGUGAAAUUGAACUCGCUGUGAAGAUGCAGUGUACCCGCGGCAAGACGGAAAGACCCCGUGAACCUUUACUAUAGCUUGACACUGAACAUUGAGCCUUGAUGUGUAGGAUAGGUGGGAGGCUUUGAAGUGUGGACGCCAGUCUGCAUGGAGCCGGCCUUGAAAUACCACCCUUUAAUGUUUGAUGUUCUAACGUUGACCCGUGAUCCGGGUUGCGGACAGUGUCUGGUGGGUAGUUUGACUGGGGCGGUCUCCUCCUAAAGAGUAACGGAGGAGCACGAAGGUUGGCUAAUCCUGGUCGGACAUCAGGAGGUUAGUGCAAUGGCAUAAGCCAGCUUGACUGCGAGCGUGACGGCGCGAGCAGGUGCGAAAGCAGGUCAUAGUGAUCCGGUGGUUCUGAAUGGAAGGGCCAUCGCUCAACGGAUAAAAGGUACUCCGGGGAUAACAGGCUGAUACCGCCCAAGAGUUCAUAUCGACGGCGGUGUUUGGCACCUCGAUGUCGGCUCAUCACAUCCUGGGGCUGAAGUAGGUCCCAAGGGUAUGGCUGUUCGCCAUUUAAAGUGGUACGCGAGCUGGGUUUAGAACGUCGUGAGACAGUUCGGUCCCUAUCUGCCGUGGGCGCUGGAGAACUGAGGGGGGCUGCUCCUAGUACGAGAGGACCGGAGUGGACGCAUCACUGGU
Molecule: ribosomal RNA, 2310 nt
Filed under: Escherichia coli
Lineage: Bacteria; Pseudomonadati; Pseudomonadota; Gammaproteobacteria; Enterobacterales; Enterobacteriaceae
Description: partial 23S ribosomal RNA
Rfam family: Bacterial large subunit ribosomal RNA
Source: RNAcentral